RNAcentral lists this ribosomal RNA (463 nucleotides) under uncultured bacterium. RNAcentral describes it as "partial 16S ribosomal RNA". It matches the Rfam family "Bacterial small subunit ribosomal RNA", at positions 28 to 507 of the family's 1533-position model. The record is from RNAcentral.
GACGAACGCUGGCGGCGUGCCUAACACAUGCAAGUCGAACGGUCAACCUCUUCGGAGGGGCUCAGUGGCGAACGGGUGGGUGACACGUGGGCAACCUGCCCCCGUCUCUGGGAUAACUCCAUGAAAUUGGGGCUAAUACCGUAUGUUCACCGCUUCCCUCAUGGGUGGUGGUGCAAAGGUUUUCCGGCUGGGGGUGGGCCCGCGGCCUAUCAGCUGGUUGGUGGGGUAGUGGUAUUCCAAGGCGACGAUGGGUAGCCGGCCUGAGAGGGCAGCCGGCCACACUGGGACUGAGACACGGCCCAGACUCCUACGGGACGCAGCAGUGGGGAAUAUUGCGCAGUGGGCGGAAGCCAGACGUGGCGACGCCGCGUGGGGGAUAACGGGCUUCGGGUUGUAAACCACUUUCAGCAGAGACGAAGCGCAAGUGACGGUACCUGCAGAAGAAGCACCGGCUAACUACGUG